Hemibagrus wyckioides is the source of this 3713-nucleotide long non-coding RNA. RefSeq lists it as uncharacterized. The transcript has 3 exons. NCBI's taxonomy places the organism in Eukaryota, Metazoa, Chordata, Actinopteri, Siluriformes, Bagridae. The record is from RefSeq and is a predicted model, not a curated record.
UGCAUAAGUAUUUACCCCCUUAAACUUUUCCUCAUUGUGUAGUGUUAACAUAAAUGAACAUUAUUUAUAUAAUACUUCAUGGAUCUACACAAAACUGUCCUUAAUAGAUAAAGAUAAAUACUCACUGUUGUUGCUGUGAAACCUGUAAACUAGUUCAGGUGCAGCUGUAGUUGCCAUCAGAAAGGACAUAAUUGGGUGAAAGAAGUGCAAUUAAAGUGUCACAUGAUCUCCAAAGGGUGCUAGGAUGACAGCCCCUAAUAAAACUGUCAGGACGGGUCACAUGUUGGCUAUCUGCCACUCAAGCAUCACAGACCACCACAGAGUGAUGAAGCCACCACUGUGAUGGAUCCUCACUCACACCGCUUUCUGUGGAUUGUCACCAUGAGCAUCACCUGAGACGGCAGAGCUGUAGUUUUUACAUCACUCAGGCAAGUUGUGUCUAUCCACCACACACACGUUUACAACAGGGUGUCAGACGUACAGGCACGAUAAAGGUUCUCUUAUCUCACCAGAAGAAACUGUGUUCUGAAUUAAAAUGGUCUUGUGCAAUGUAAUUUAAGAGAUAUUUUUGAUAUUUCUCUGCUAAGUCUCUGUUUGUCCACCUGGUGGCGAAAUAGAGCGAUAAAUUCAUAAGCUGAUCUUCAACAAUGUAAUUCUUCAUUAGCAAGAUAUAAAUGUAAUUCUGUAAUUAAAAGAUUUUAUUUAGGUAUAUAACAGGGAAUAGGGUGAAUACUUUUUAAUGCACUUUUGGGUGUCAUUUUAAAGGACAAAGACGCCAGGAGCUAUAGUAUUUUGUGUGCGAUUUGGGGGUUUUGUGGUAAAAUACUUGCGUCACAGCUCAGAGAUCACUGGUUUAAAUCUGGCUUGUGCCCACACUCCAUACUGAGUGAUGUAAAAGGUGAGUGGGCAGCUGCAUGGGAGUGGUGAGAAAGGCAAUAUGAAAGGGAUUUGAUGAGGAGCAAGUGGAGAUGAAGGAUGUGAAAGGGGAGUAGAACAGUAGUUUGCACUUAAUUUGUUUUUGCAUAAAUGUCUGCUACUUCUCUCCUCCAGGCCAGCUUUUAUAUGCACUGCCUUAUGCCAUCUCUUCUCUUCACACUUUCCCAUUCCCAGCCUUCUUGUGCGGGCUCUCUAUCCCUCCUUGCCAUUUUUCUCACAGGCAUCUUGUGUGUACACUGUUUACACUUGUGCAUUGGCGCCCUCCAGCAUGUGGCAACUUGUCUAUGGCUGCUGGCUCUGGUGCCCUCCAUCCACCUUGCACCUGCUGCCUCAUCUACAGCUACUGGCACCCUGCAUCUUGUGUGUGCCAUCUUGUUUACAGACACUGUGCCCUCCAACCACCUUGCAUAUGAAGCAAUUGCCUUUCACUCACCUUGUUUUUGAGUCCUGUGUGGGUUUUGAACCGAUCACAAAACCUCCAGCCCAUGCUCACUUACACCAGAGACCAAGGCACUAACCACUACACUAUUGCAGGAGCAGACAACUUACUGCUGCUUAUGGGACUUUUGUCUUAAUAAGCACUCAACAUGCUUCUGAAGCAAAAGCAAGGACACCAAGACUCAACCCAAGGACCUCACAAACCAGACAGCAUGCCAACUAACCACUACACCACUCAAGGUCUAGGGUGAUGAUUGCUUAUUGGACUUUUGUCUUGAUGAGUGGCUCAACAUGCUCCUUUUUAAACGGUCUAAUUAACCCUGACCUAAAGCUUUAUUUAAAAAAAUAAGCUUAGACAGGGAUCUUGCACACACCCAAGCAAUGAACAAACAACUGUGCAAUCCAAAGCCAGUGCUCAUCCAUAUGAGCCACAAGAACUCACGUUAACUCGUGCCUUUAAACACCUUUUCACCUUGGUCUAAUUAACCCUCACCUGAAGGCAUUCACAAAAGAAAGAGUUUCGUCAGACAGACUUGAAUCUUCAACCUCAUACACCCAAGCCUGUAGCACUAACCACUACACCACAAACAUACCUUAGGGUUAUGGAACUUUUGUCUUCAUAAAUGUCUCAACAUGAGCCUGAGCUAAAACAAAAACAAGCACACCCAAACCAAGGAUGUCAUGCACUAAAAGUCACUUCACUAACUACUGCAGGAUAGAAAAGUUCUCUCACCUAUUGGUCUUUUGUCUUAAUAACGUGCUCCAAGUGAGCAUGAGCUUAACCAAAAGACACAGAUUUGAACUAGGGCCCUCACACACACCUCAGCCAUAACCACUACAGAACAGUUGGCUAGUUGCUUAAUGGACUUUUGUCUCAGAACCCUGAAUGAGGGCGCAGAGACUCAAACCACAGCCACCACACACCACAGCCCAUGGCACUAACCACGCAACCACAGGUAGUGAUGCUGCAUUCUGGGCUUUUGUUAUAAUAAGUAGGUCAUUGUGGGUCUGUUUAUACCAUGGAAAUGAACAGAGCUAAACAAAGUGUUCUGUGAAGUCUAGUAAUAUUUUAUCUUUCAUCUAACCAAAGACAUAAAGCAUCAAACCAGAGACCUCACCCACCAGAGCCCACGGCCUUACCUACUACACCACAGAAAGUGUUGUUGUUUACUGUCUGCUCAAAAAUUACAGGUGAAACACUUGAGGGUAGAGGAACAGACUGAGGUUCAUCCAUCCAUCCAUCCAUCCAUCCAUUUUCGAUAGAUAGAUAGAUAGAUAGAUAGAUAGAUAGAUAGAUAGAUAGAUAGAUAGAUAGAUAGAUAGAUAGAUAGAUAGAUAGAUAGAUAGAUAGAUAGAUAGAUAGAUAGAUAGAUAGAUAGAUAGAUAGAUGCUUUAUUCAUCCCAAAGGGAAAUUCACAGCUUCCAGCAGUAUCCACAAACACAGGUAAUAGAUAAAAUAGGAAGGAAUAUAACAAAAAUACCCAAAUUAGGGUACAAAAAUAUAACAAAAAAAUAUAUCAAAUAACAAAAAUAUAAAAUAUUACCAAAUAUAGCAGAAUAUAACAAUAUAAUAAAAUAUAGAAAUAAUUUCUAAAAUACCCAAAUUAGGGUACAGAAAUAUAACAAAAAUAUAUAUCAAAUAACAAAAUAUAGAAUAUAACAAAAAUAUAUCAAAUAACAAAAUAUAAAAUAUUACAAAAUAUAGCAGAAUAUAACAAUAUAAGAAAAUGUAUCAGAAAAAUACUAAAUACAGAGAUUUAGGAAUAAAUAUGGAGAAUGAGAUGAAAAACAAGUCAUGUGCAAGGCAAGUGUUUAAGGUUACAGACCUAUUUGAUGUGCAAAAACUGUUAUGUGCAAAAACUGCGUGUUUAUGAGUCCUGUGCAAAUCUCAGUUUAUUGAGAGUUCUGUAUAAACCGGAGUGUAUUGUGUGUAGUGUGUGUUUUAUUGUGUUUUAUUAUACUCGCUAUAUUCCUAAUUAGGGUCACAGGGAUCUGCUGGAGCCUAUCCCAGCACACAUUGGGCGAAAGGCAGGGGUACACCCUGAACAGGUCGCCAGUCCAUGGUCGAGGUUCAGUCCUCCACUAACCAACUCACACCAAUCUACUACCAGAGCUGUUGGAGUAGAUAUCCUCCGGCUAAAUAUGCGUUUGUUGAUAGAAGCCAGACCCAUGUGCACUUGCACCUGCUGUUUAAACCCAACACAAUCAGAGCUGAAUUAAAUGUUUGUGAAUUCUCUGUUGAACACUGUUUCUUUCUUGUUCUGAACAACAAUAAAAUAAUUUCUUGGACACACUGACAGAGCUUCCAUGUCUUGUUUAUAAUUGCAGGUUUCUGCUAC